UACAGAGGUCUCAAGCGUUGUUCGGAAUCACUGGGCGUAAAGGGUGCGUAGGUGGGCUGGUAAGUCAGUGGUGAAAUCUCCAGGCUUAACUUGGAAACUGCCAUUGAUACUAUCAGUCUUGAAUACCGUGGAGGUCAGCGGAAUAUGUCAUGUAGCGGUGAAAUGCUUAGAUAUGACAUAGAACACCAAUUGCGAAGGCAGCUGGCUACACGAAUAUUGACACUGAUGCACGAAAGCGUGGGGAUCAAACAGG
This 253-nucleotide ribosomal RNA is filed under the name uncultured bacterium. RNAcentral's name for it is "partial 16S ribosomal RNA". It matches the Rfam family "Bacterial small subunit ribosomal RNA", at positions 524 to 776 of the family's 1533-position model. The record is from RNAcentral.